RNAcentral lists this transfer RNA (70 nucleotides) under Sphaerodactylus townsendi. RNAcentral describes it as "tRNA-Thr". Lineage: Eukaryota; Metazoa; Chordata; Lepidosauria; Squamata; Sphaerodactylidae. The record is from RNAcentral.
GUCUGUGGCUCAGUGGUAGAACAUCAGCUUUGUAUCCAGAAGGUCCCAGGUUCAAGCCCAGUUAAAAACA